GGCUUUGUUUGCGCAGGAUAGGUGGAAGGCGUUGAAAAUUUUCUUGCGGGAAUUUUGGAGCCAUUGGUGAGAUACCACUCUAACAAUGCUAGGAUUCUAACCCUAUACCGUUAUCCGGUUAGGGGACAGUUUCAGGUGGUCAGUUUGACUGGGGCGGUCGCCUCCUAAAAGGUAACGGAGGCGUGCAAAGGUUUCCUCAGACUGGUUGGAAAUCAGUCGAAGAGUGUAAAGGCAUAAGGAAGCUUGAUUGUGAGACUUACAAGUCGAACAAAGACGAAAGUCGGCCUUAGUGAUCCGACGGUUCCGAGUGGAAGGGCCGUCGCUCAACGGAUAAAAGUUACUCUAGGGAUAACA
RNAcentral lists this ribosomal RNA (354 nucleotides) under uncultured eukaryote. RNAcentral's name for it is "LSU rRNA". It matches the Rfam family "Bacterial large subunit ribosomal RNA", at positions 2126 to 2479 of the family's 2925-position model. The record is from RNAcentral.